GACGAACGCUGGCGGCGUGCCUAACACAUGCAAGUGGAGCGACGAACCAGGCUUCGGCCUGGGGCAGAGCCGCGAACGGGUGAGUAACACGUGGGUAACCUGCCCUGAUGAUUGGGACAACCCGAGGAAACUCGGGCUAAUACCAAAUGUGCCCUCCGACCAUAAGGUCGCUGGGGAAAGGAAGCUUCGGCCUCCGCAUCGGGAUGGGCCCGCGGCCCAUUAGCUUGUUGGUGAGGUAAGGCUCACCAAGGCAACGAUGGGUAGCUGGUCUGAGAGGACGAUCAGCCACACUGGGACUGAGACACGGCCCAGACUCCUACGGGAGGCAGCAGUGGGGAAUCUUGCGCAAUGCGCGAAAGCGUGACGCAGCAACGCCGCGUGGGGGAAGAAGCU
RNAcentral lists this ribosomal RNA (393 nucleotides) under uncultured bacterium. Its description in RNAcentral is "bacterial SSU rRNA". It matches the Rfam family "Bacterial small subunit ribosomal RNA", at positions 28 to 415 of the family's 1533-position model. The record is from RNAcentral.